This 253-nucleotide ribosomal RNA is filed under the name uncultured bacterium. Its description in RNAcentral is "partial 16S ribosomal RNA". It matches the Rfam family "Bacterial small subunit ribosomal RNA", at positions 524 to 776 of the family's 1533-position model. The record is from RNAcentral.
UACGGAGGGUGCAAGCGUUAUCCGGAUUGACUGGGCUUAAAGGGUGCGUAGGUGGGCCGGUAAGUCAGGGGUGAAAUCUCCGGGCUUAACCCGGAAACUGCCAUUGAUACUAUUUGUCUUGAAUACUGUGGAGGUCAGCGGAAUAUGUCAUGUAGCGGUGAAAUGCUUAGAUAUGACAUAGAACACCAAUUGCGAAGGCAGCUGGCUACACAAAUAUUGACACUGAGGCACGAAAGCGUGGGGAUCAAACAGG